This 478-nucleotide ribosomal RNA is filed under the name uncultured organism. Its description in RNAcentral is "partial 16S ribosomal RNA". It matches the Rfam family "Bacterial small subunit ribosomal RNA", at positions 330 to 799 of the family's 1533-position model. The record is from RNAcentral.
CGUACACUCCUGCGGGAGGCAGCAGUGGGGAAUAUUGCACAAUGGGCGCAAGCCUGAUGCAGCCAUGCCGCGUGUAUGAAGAAGGCCUUCGGGUUGUAAAGUACUUUCAGCGGGGAGGAAGGCGAUAAGGUUAAUAACCUUGUCGAUUGACGUUACCCGCAGAAGAAGCACCGGCUAACUCCGUGCCAGCAGCCGCGGUAAUACGGAGGGUGCAAGCGUUAAUCGGAAUUACUGGGCGUAAAGCGCACGCAGGCGGUCUGUCAAGUCGGAUGUGAAAUCCCCGGGCUCAACCUGGGAACUGCAUUCGAAACUGGCAGGCUAGAGUCUUGUAGAGGGGGGUAGAAUUCCAGGUGUAGCGGUGAAAUGCGUAGAGAUCUGGAGGAAUACCGGUGGCGAAGGCGGCCCCCUGGACAAAGACUGACGCUCAGGUGCGAAAGCGUGGGGAGCAAACAGGAUUAGAUACCCGUGUAGUCCCAUG